Molecule: ribosomal RNA, 894 nt
Filed under: uncultured Herbaspirillum sp.
Lineage: Bacteria; Pseudomonadati; Pseudomonadota; Betaproteobacteria; Burkholderiales; Oxalobacteraceae
Description: bacterial SSU rRNA
Rfam family: Bacterial small subunit ribosomal RNA
Source: RNAcentral
CAAGUCGAACGGCAGCACGGGAGCUUGCUCCUGGUGGCGAGUGGCGAACGGGUGAGUAAUAUAUCGGAACGUGCCCAGUAGUGGGGGAUAGCCCGGCGAAAGCCGGAUUAAUACCGCAUACGAUCUACGGAUGAAAGCGGGGGAUCGCAAGACCUCGCGCUAUUGGAGCGGCCGAUAUCUGAUUAGCUAGUUGGUGAGGUAAAGGCUCACCAAGGCUACGAUCAGUAGCUGGUCUGAGAGGACGACCAGCCACACUGGAACUGAGACACGGUCCAGACUCCUACGGGAGGCAGCAGUGGGGAAUUUUGGACAAUGGGGGAAACCCUGAUCCAGCAAUGCCGCGUGAGUGAAGAAGGCCUUCGGGUUGUAAAGCUCUUUUGUCAGGGAAGAAACGGUAGAGGCUAAUAUCCUUUGCUAAUGACGGUACCUGAAGAAUAAGCACCGGCUAACUACGUGCCAGCAGCCGCGGUAAUACGUAGGGUGCGAGCGUUAAUCGGAAUUACUGGGCGUAAAGCGUGCGCAGGCGGUUGUGCAAGACAGAUGUGAAAUCCCCGGGCUUAACCUGGGAAUUGCAUUUGUGACUGCACGGCUAGAGUGUGUCAGAGGGGGGUAGAAUUCCACGUGUAGCAGUGAAAUGCGUAGAGAUGUGGAGGAAUACCGAUGGCGAAGGCAGCCCCCUGAGAUAACACUGACGCUCAUGCACGAAAGCGUGGGGAGCAAACAGGAUUAGAUACCCUGGUAGUCCACGCCCUAAACGAUGUCUACUAGUUGUCGGGUCUUAAUUGACUUGGUAACGCAGCUAACGCGUGAAGUAGACCGCCUGGGGAGUACGGUCGCAGGAUUAAAACUCAAAGGAAUUGACGGGGACCCGCACAAGCGGUGGAUGAUGUGGAU